AAAAAGUCAAAAUAUGAUUACAGCAGUCAUCACUGUGUUACAAUCUCAAGACAAACACACAUAUACAAAAACACAAAAAGCAUCUAUCAAAUUAAAAAAACACAUUCCUUGUUUCGCGUGUUGGGCGUCAAAAAAUGCAAACGUCACAAAAAAGAAAUUUUAUCGUUCAAUGUCUAUUCAAAACAAUUAUAAUUUCACAUGGAGAAUGG
This 209-nucleotide long non-coding RNA is filed under the name Mytilus galloprovincialis (Mediterranean mussel). The record is from RNAcentral. Lineage: Eukaryota; Metazoa; Mollusca; Bivalvia; Mytilida; Mytilidae.